UAGUAAAGAAAAAAUAAGAAUUCAUUCUAUAGGGAGCCUUCAUCAGGCCCAAUCUUCCAACCUCACUCCUUUCGAGUUUCACAGCCUUGACAUGGUCAGGGUGCGGCAAAGCUCCCUAGGGCCCCCAUUGGGUCCCUUGCCAAUACCAGCACCCAAACACUUACCAAAUAUAUUGAACAAGUGCAGUGUGGAAUUACCAGCUUUGUGUAUCAAAGUUCAGUGAGUACUCAGAGGUACCCAAAACAAUGCUUACACGAGGGGGAUAGAACCUAGUCUCUAUGAGUAGUGUGAAGUGCAGGAAGGAGAGGAAAGUUGGUAGUUCAAAGAGUUAACAAAAGAGUAAGUUGGAGAGUUGUACACAAGGGUAAUGGGUAAAGGGGACAAAUAUAUCACAUGCAAACUCACAAAACCAAAUGCUUUAAUAGACCUUGACAUAGUCGGAUUUAGACACAAAGUAAGUACCAACAGAAUUUAGUCAUAAUAGGUGAACAUUAAUCAUGAGCAUGCAAGUUCCAACAGGCAAACCAGGAAUCAAUCACAUGUUACACAACAGAAACAUAAGGAGAAAAUGAUU
This 574-nucleotide long non-coding RNA is filed under the name Nicotiana benthamiana. Its description in RNAcentral is "long non-coding RNA (NBEN_LNC038543)". Lineage: Eukaryota; Viridiplantae; Streptophyta; Magnoliopsida; Solanales; Solanaceae. The record is from RNAcentral.